AAAACUUUCAACAACGGAUCUCUUGGUUCUGGCAUCGAUGAAGAACGCAGCGAAAUGCGACAAGUAAUGCGAAUUGCAGAAUUCAGUGAAUCAUCGAAUCUUUGAACGCACAUUGCGCCCUUUGGUAUUCCGAGGGGCAUGCCUGUUCGAGCGUCAUU
This 158-nucleotide ribosomal RNA is filed under the name Pleopsidium chlorophanum. RNAcentral's name for it is "5.8S ribosomal RNA". It matches the Rfam family "5.8S ribosomal RNA". Rfam says of the family: 5.8S ribosomal RNA (5.8S rRNA) is a component of the large subunit of the eukaryotic ribosome. It is transcribed by RNA polymerase I as part of the 45S precursor that also contains 18S and 28S rRNA. Lineage: Eukaryota; Fungi; Ascomycota; Lecanoromycetes; Acarosporales; Acarosporaceae. The record is from RNAcentral.